Molecule: long non-coding RNA, 789 nt
Filed under: Mustela putorius furo (domestic ferret)
Lineage: Eukaryota; Metazoa; Chordata; Mammalia; Carnivora; Mustelidae
Description: lncRNA (ENSMPUG00000024188.1)
Source: RNAcentral
AUGAGAGGAGAGAAGAGAUUGCCUUUCAUGUCCGUCUCCCAUGGCACGAGGGCCAGUUGCCCAAAGCUUUGUAGAAUGACAUCAUCGUCACCAUUCUCCACUGCGGCCUUGUGGAAAAGCGAUGUGAGCUGUAGCUCCGUGACCAGUCUUGAUGUGCAGGAGCCUCAAACAGAAAUGUUGGGGCAAGUGUGGGGGGCUCCCGCGGCUGCGGCCCCCCGUCUGGGGUCAUCGCCUACUAGAGCUACAGGGGACAGCCGCGAUGGAGACACCAGCUGUGGCCGGAGGCUGGGGGACCAGAGCCUCGCAGGGAAGGGGCGGAGGAGGGGCAGCAGCGCGAAGAACCAAGCCAGGAACAAGGCAGGUGGGAGUCCCGAGGUGGGGGGGAUCCAGAGCCCCCGAGGGAGGGUGACUCAGGUCGGGGAGGCCCGGACCGCGCGCGGGUUUGUGCGAGCCCCCGGCCCCCGCUCUCGGAAGCCUGUCUGGGUUCCUUUCUUUGCUGUUUGAGUUUUCUAUCUCUUUUUAGAGCUGGACCCAGGUCCCAGCGGCCGCAGGGCAGCGGUGCGGAGAGGAAGCCCGGCCCGGGCCCGCGUGGACACCUCUGGGGGCGACAGGGGCGGAGGGAGGGAGAUGGGGCGCCAGCUGAGGGCGCCCAGCGAGCCCGGGAGAUGCCCGCGACCCGGGGCCCCUGAGCUUCCCGCCCGCAAACUUUCCCAGCCAAGUCGGGGUGGCCCGACCCUAGAAAGGGGGAUCCCCAUGCCUCCCCGACUGUCCCCUGGGGCUGGUCACUCA